RNAcentral lists this long non-coding RNA (1359 nucleotides) under Helianthus annuus (common sunflower). Its description in RNAcentral is "hypothetical non coding rna". Lineage: Eukaryota; Viridiplantae; Streptophyta; Magnoliopsida; Asterales; Asteraceae. The record is from RNAcentral.
UUUCUUCUAUUAUUUUCUCUAUACGUUGGUGUUCUAACCAAUAAUCACCGAUGCGAUGUUCUGUCCGAUCGAUUCAGGAACCAACUAACGGAUGCCAAAGUGUUGUACUUUGUGAAUUUCGUUAAACGGAUGCCAAAGUGCUAUACUUUGUGAAUUUCGUUAAACAAAUGCCAAAGUGCUGUCUAAACAAGACUAUACUUUGUGAAUUUCGUUAAGGUUCGGAUCUCGUGACCAUCGUUAGGUUUGAUGUGGCUUUACACUAAUACGUAUUCCACUCUGUUAAACUAAAUGUUUAACUACCCGAAACUCUACACCAUACUCCUACAAUCAAAAUGGAUGUUGAAUCAUCAGAAGGUUCCAAACAAUAAAGUAUAUGCUUAAUUAUCAGAAGGAGUAGAAUCAAGAAGCUUAUUAAAUCAAUACUGCAUGCUUAUAAUGUGAGUCAUUCUCUUUUUAUAAACAAUGUUUUAUAACACUCCAAAUUAUUUUCAAAAGUUAUAAUUACAGGGAUUAAGUCAUGGUUAUCUUGAAUCACUGGCUAGUGGGGUAUUGUGCACAUUACUAAUUUCUCACGGUUAGGCUAAUAAAUCCUAACAGUGAUAAUCAUCACUACUUGGGUGAAAGGACCCAAUAGUGGUAUGACCACCGUCACCAGGAGGUGACACGGCGCCAGAUAAAAAUAAGAUAGAAGCAAUUGUAAUCGCUCUUAUGCUGUAAUUAAUAACUAAGGUGUCAUUUUAUAAAACCUGAAUGAACUUUAAAACGCGUUUCAGGUAAUUACGGUAGGUCGGAAGAAGAGUUGGAUACGACACCAAAAGGCUUACAGAAGUGGCUUAAUUUAUCAAUUAAAUUAAAUUAAGAAAAGUUGUUUUAUGUAUUCGGGUUUGUCCCAUAUUAAAGCUACCUUUCAAAACAUGGUUUUAUCCCAUCUAUUUAAUAAAUAAAAUCCAGUGUUUUCUAAACUCUGAUAUUUUUCCUAACUCACGGUCCUGAUAAAAUUUCCGUUGCACUACUUUUCUAAAUAACCACCGGUACCACUGAACUGGUUCGCGGCUCCCGAUUCCGUCCAGGGUGGGGUCGGGGGUCGUGACAUGGAAGCUUGUGAAGAAGCGGGUCAAGAAGAUCAAAUACGCGGGAAAACAUAAUCGGAUGCAAGGUAAUAAUUGGAGUACCGGAUGACAAUCAAGCCCAAUGGAGAACCAAACACGGCCAAAUUAAAGCUUCCGCACUUUGUUUUGUUAUUACGAAAUGAAAUCAAUGAUAACACAGUGAAUUGUUUAAUUUUUUUUAUAAAGUUUUAAUAAACUUGUUUUAUCUUACAAAGGUAUAAUCUUAUAUAAAUUCUUUUAUAUGCGAAAU